RNAcentral lists this ribosomal RNA (496 nucleotides) under uncultured bacterium. RNAcentral's name for it is "partial 16S ribosomal RNA". It matches the Rfam family "Bacterial small subunit ribosomal RNA", at positions 29 to 507 of the family's 1533-position model. The record is from RNAcentral.
AUGAACGCUGGCGGCGUGCCUAAUACAUGCAAGUCGAGCGAACGGACGAGAAGCUUGCUUCUCUGAUGUUAGCGGCGGACGGGUGAGUAACACGUGGAUAACCUACCUAUAAGACUGGGAUAACUUCGGGAAACCGGAGCUAAUACCGGAUGAUAUUUUGAACCGCAUGGUUCAAAAGUGAAAGACGGUCUUGCUGUCACUUAUAGAUGGAUCCGCGCUGCAUUAGCUAGUUGGUAAGGUAACGGCUUACCAAGGCAACGAUGCAUAGCCGACCUGAGAGGGUGAUCGGCCACACUGGAACUGAGACACGGUCCAGACUCCUACGGGAGGCAGCAGUAGGGAAUCUUCCGCAAUGGGCGAAAGCCUGACGGAGCAACGCCGCGUGAGUGAUGAAGGUCUUCGGAUCGUAAAACUCUGUUAUUAGGGAAGAACAUAUGUGUAAGUAACUGUGCACAUCUUGACGGUACCUAAUCAGAAAGCCACGGCUAACUGCGUG